RNAcentral lists this ribosomal RNA (253 nucleotides) under uncultured bacterium. RNAcentral's name for it is "partial 16S ribosomal RNA". It matches the Rfam family "Bacterial small subunit ribosomal RNA", at positions 524 to 776 of the family's 1533-position model. The record is from RNAcentral.
UACGAAGGGGGCUAGCGUUGUUCGGAGUUACUGGGCGUAAAGCGCGCGUAGGCGGCUUUGCAAGUCGGGUGUGAAAUCCCCAGGCUUAACCUGGGAACUGCAUUCGAGACUGCAUUGCUAGAGUAUGGGAGAGGGAAGUGGAAUUUCCGGUGUAGCGGUGAAAUGCGUAGAUAUCGGAAGGAACAUCAGUGGCGAAAGCGACUUCCUGGACCAAUACUGACGCUCAUGUGCGAAAGCGUGGGGAGCAAACAGG